Molecule: ribosomal RNA, 229 nt
Filed under: uncultured bacterium
Lineage: Bacteria
Description: partial 16S ribosomal RNA
Rfam family: Bacterial small subunit ribosomal RNA
Source: RNAcentral
UGCGUAGGCGGGCUAAUAAGUCAGUGGUGAAAUCUCUCGGCUCAACCGGGAAACUGCCAUUGAUACUGUUAGUCUUGAGUUCGGUUGAGGUAGGCGGAAUGUGUAAUGUAGCGGUGAAAUGCUUAGAUAUUACACAGAACACCAAUUGCGUAGGCAGCUUACUAGACCGUCACUGACGCUGAGGCACGAAAGCGUGGGGAGCGAACAGGAUUAGAUACCCUGGUAGUCC